CACGUAGGCACCAAGCGUUGUCCGGAUUUAUUGGGCGUAAAGAGCUCGUAGGCGGUUCAGUAAGUCAGGUGUGAAAUCUUUGGGCUUAACCCAAAGCGUGCGCUUGAUACUGCUGUGACUUGAGUUCGGUAGGGGAGUGGGGAAUUCCUAGUGUAGCGGUGAAAUGCGCAGAUAUUAGGAGGAACACCGGUGGCGAAGGCGCCACUCUGGGCCGAAACUGACGCUGAGGAGCGAAAGCGUGGGUAGCAAACAGG
Molecule: ribosomal RNA, 254 nt
Filed under: uncultured bacterium
Lineage: Bacteria
Description: partial 16S ribosomal RNA
Rfam family: Bacterial small subunit ribosomal RNA
Source: RNAcentral